AAAGUUGAAAAGAACUUUGAAGAGAGAGUUCAAAAGGGCGUGAAACCGCUUAGAAUAAAACGGACGGAGCCGUCUGCAGCUCGUCGGAAUCAGUCGAAUCGAAGCGUGAAAACGGGUCGGCGAAUACGGGAACGAAAGUCCCCGUCGUCUCGUACGGAUAUAAGAGAGUAGCGUUCGUUCGAUGCAUUUCCGGCGGGUAAGCACCGCGACCGACGCGAAAGCUAACGUAGCCUUCGGAUUGAGGGCGAGCCCGUUCGCGGGACUCGUAACCAGUCCGUCGGUGGAUAUAGAAUUCGUUAGACGGUAGCGUCGAGAGAUGUAUUUUAACGGAGAGCCGGUGGAUAUAUAUAUCGCUCGCCUAUCGCGACGGAGGUAUCGCCGACCGAUCGUUCCCUGCUCGCAGGUUGCGGUCCGAGUCCGCGCGGUAUCCAAAGUCGUCGGCGACGUUUCCGGCUUUCCGGCUUCCGCGGUGUCCGAGUCGGUCACCCGUCCGACCCGUCUUGAAACACGGACCAAGGAGUCUAACGUAAGCGCGAGCUAAUGAGUGGAAAACUCAUAAGCGCAAUAAAAGUAAAGGUCGUUUCGGACGGCCGAGGUACGAUCCCGAAUAGAGGAGAAGUAUUCGGGCGCAGUACCGUCCCGUCCCGACCGCGCGUCGGUAGGGCGGAGAUAGAGUGCGUACGUUGGGACCCGAAAGAUGGUGAACUAUGCCUGAGCAGAGCGAAGCCAGAGGAAACUCUGGUGGAGGUUCGUAGCGGUUCUGACGUGCAAAUCGAUCGUCAGACUU
Molecule: ribosomal RNA, 787 nt
Filed under: Xiphinema ifacolum
Lineage: Eukaryota; Metazoa; Nematoda; Enoplea; Dorylaimida; Longidoridae
Description: partial large subunit ribosomal RNA
Rfam family: Eukaryotic large subunit ribosomal RNA
Source: RNAcentral